UUUAAUUUUUAUUAAAAGUGACGGGCGAUAUGUGCAUGUUUGAUUUCUAUUUAAAAUUUUAUUUUUUUUUUUUUAAUUUACUUUCAAAUCCUUAUUAGUUUUAUUUUUUUAGUUAUUCCUUUUUUUAAUUGUUGUACUCCGUUUUAUCUCAAAAAUAUUCUUUGUCUUGAUUUGUGAUUUUAUUUUUAUAAUUAUUUAAAAAUUUUUUUUUUAUUAAUUUUCAUACAAUGAUAUAAAAGAUAAAAUUUAUAGUUCAUUUAAUCGUGGGUUGUCGUUUACAUAGCAGAGUCCUCUGUGUAGGUCUAAACACCGCCAUUAUAGUUAGUUUUUUCUUUAUUAAAUACUUACUUUUUUUAUUUUAAAA
This 364-nucleotide ribosomal RNA is filed under the name Diptilomiopus melastomae. RNAcentral describes it as "partial 12S ribosomal RNA". The record is from RNAcentral. Lineage: Eukaryota; Metazoa; Arthropoda; Arachnida; Trombidiformes; Diptilomiopidae.